UAAUACGUAGGGUGCGAGCGUUGUCCGGAAUUAUUGGGCGUAAAGAGCUCGUAGGCGGCUUGUCGCGUCGGAUGUGAAAGCCCGGGGCUUAACCCCGGGUCUGCAUUCGAUACGGGCAGGCUAGAGUUCGGUAGGGGAGAUCGGAAUUCCUGGUGUAGCGGUGAAAUGCGCAGAUAUCAGGAGGAACACCGGUGGCGAAGGCGGAUCUCUGGGCCGAUACUGACGCUGAGGAGCGAAAGCGUGGGGAGCGAACAGG
Molecule: ribosomal RNA, 256 nt
Filed under: uncultured archaeon
Lineage: Archaea
Description: partial 16S ribosomal RNA
Rfam family: Bacterial small subunit ribosomal RNA
Source: RNAcentral